AAUGAACGCUGGCGGCGUGGAUACCCAUGCAAGUCGAACGGAAAACACAAUAGCUUGCUAAUGUGUUUUUAGUGGCGGACGGGUUAGUAACACGUGAGCAACCUGCCUCGAAGCGGGGGAUAGCCUUCCGAAAGGGAGAUUAAUACCGCAUGUGACCUACGGGUUAAAGAUGCCUUCGGGUGUCACUUCGAGAUGGGCUCGCGGCCUAUCAGCUAGAUGGUGAGGUAACGGCUCACCAUGGCAACGACGGGUAGCUGGUCUGAGAGGAUGAUCAGCAACACUGGAACUGAGACACGGUCCAGACACCUACGGGUGGCAGCAGUCGAGAAUCAUUCACAAUGGGGGAAACCCUGAUGGUGCAACGCCGCGUGGAGGAUGAAGGCCCUAGGGUCGUAAACUCCUGUCAUAUAAGAGUAAGGCAUAGUUGGUUAAUACCCAGUUAUGUUUGAUAGUAUUAUAAGAGGAAGGGACGGCUAACUUCGUGCCAGCAGCCGCGGUAAUACGAAGGUCCCGAGCGUUAUUCGGAAUCACUGGGCGUAAAGAGUACGUAGGCGGUUUGGUAAGUCAGGU
This 570-nucleotide ribosomal RNA is filed under the name uncultured bacterium. RNAcentral describes it as "bacterial SSU rRNA". It matches the Rfam family "Bacterial small subunit ribosomal RNA", at positions 28 to 593 of the family's 1533-position model. The record is from RNAcentral.